This is a long non-coding RNA of Zeugodacus cucurbitae (melon fly), 408 nucleotides long. RefSeq lists it as uncharacterized. The transcript is spliced from 2 exons. NCBI's taxonomy places the organism in Eukaryota, Metazoa, Arthropoda, Insecta, Diptera, Tephritidae. The record is from RefSeq and is a predicted model, not a curated record.
UCACCAUCUUUAAUAUAUCCAACUAUGGCCGUACAAACAGUCAACCAAACUACCUAAUGAAUUGCACAGAACACAAAAGCCAUUUACAUUAAAACGUACACAAGCAAUUGACGGAACAAUUUGACAUAAUGUAAAAUAAAAAUACUGGUUGGAAUAAAUGGGUUUUCUCACCAAAGAGAAAGUACAGUCAGUUGAUAGUAUAGCGACGUCCAAGGGAGAUGUGUGAUUCGCUACACAAAAACCAGAACCUUUUGGUUUGUAUUCUGUAUUGUGGAAUGUAAUUACAGCUGAUAAAGAACGAGUCAUUAGGCGAAAAGUAAUUUUAAAAGAUAAAUCUGCACAAGGAUGUCGAAGAAAUUCGAAGGGGAUCAUCGCAACAAGACUGUUAGCAACAACUGCAACAUAAAC